Long non-coding RNA from Sorghum bicolor (sorghum), 1708 nucleotides. RefSeq lists it as uncharacterized. The transcript is spliced from 3 exons. The record is from RefSeq and is a predicted model, not a curated record. NCBI's taxonomy places the organism in Eukaryota, Viridiplantae, Streptophyta, Magnoliopsida, Poales, Poaceae.
UCAUCACAUCCCUGCUCUCAGCCGUCACAUACAGAGACAGAAAAAUGGAGGAGCUCAGGGGCAUCGCCCGGCCGACAGAUGCGGAGGUCUCGGCUCGGUGGCGCUCGGUGACCCGUGGCCCCAGCGCGCGAGCGGCAGGCGGCCCCGCGGCUUCGGAGAGCUCCGUGCCCCGGACGCGCACGGUGAGUCGAUGCGCCAGGCGGCGUCGCUCCUCGCCGACAACGACCCUCCGACGACGCCACGCCGCGCCGCCCCACCACUUUCCUCAACGUCGUCGCCCUCGGCAACAUCGUGACUAUCGGUCGCCCCCCCAACCCCACGAGACCCCUCGCGAUCUGCUCCUUCUGCUAUUGUGCUGCACUGCUGCUACUUGUGUGACCCGAUCUGAUCUGUUCCGAUCCGUUUGUCCGUGCAGGGCGCUGGCAAGUUGGGCGUGCUGAACAGCCUCAUCGGGCACCCGAUCCUGAUAUUCUUGGGUUCAUAUCUGAAUCCAAGAGAAUGUUGCAUGGCUUCAAAGCUCUGUGGAUGAUGCGCAGCCUGGAAUGAUUGUGUAGAUAAACUGCACCCUGAGCGACCCCUUCGAUUAUACGGAAGCGUGUAGGCCAGUCAACUGUGAACCCUGCUCCCAUGCGCACUGCAAGAUGUUCGACUAUGUUAUUGUGCUGAAGCUUUGGUAGAAUCUGAACUUCGUUUUUACGUAGCUCAUAUUGACUCAUACUUGGUGGUAGCUUUUGCUCUGAACUUGAAGUAACUGAAUGUUUUUUUAUUGUGACAUGAUUGCCAUGUAGUUGACCCUGAAGGAACCAAACAGACGUCCAAUGAUUAUAUAUAAUAAAGUGCCCAAAGGGACUUUUGUUCGAUUUGGUUCCAGACUCCUGACCAAAUUAAAGUUACCUUGUAUAAAGUGGCCAAAGGGCCUUGUUCAAUUUGAUUCUCAAGUGAGAAGUUAUUUGUGGCAUUGCUUAACUGAGAAAAACUCAGAUUCUGAAACCUACUGCAGCCAAAAGAAUUGAAACAUCAUCAGAACAUGUACAUCACCUAUAUACAUACUAGCCUCAGAGACAAUGAUACAGAGGGACAUACCUUUGGUCAUGGAUUUUAUUCAACAAUCUCUUUCUGUUUUUUUAAAAUAUAUUCUGAACAUUAGACUGUAGUCUUAGUGAUUACAAUGGGCAUAAACAGUCAUUUCUAUGCUCUAGAGGUUGUAUUUCUUCUAUCAAAAAAUUUAUUAUUUAAUAUUGCUCUUCUAAAAGUAAUUUUAUUUAAUUAAACUAUCAAUGCAGAUACAUAUUAUAAUAUUUCUAACAAAUGUAUAUUUUUUCGAAACAAAUAAAAACAUAUGUUGUGCUGCUUUAUGAAAUCCUCACAAUACUUUUACUGUUUUUUCUUCAGAUCCCUCAUUAAAGCUGAUAGAUUUAUCUGGGAUAGAUCAGCGAGCUGUUGAUGAUUCCAUGUAAUAUCCACAAUGAACUUUCAUCGGAGUGAAAGACAAGCUCUACGGAGAUGAUGGCGGCAAAGGACUUCAGCCCUAAAGCAUGUUGAAUGUUUGAUGUUGGAUGCUCGAUUAGUACAAUUUGUUAGAUGAUGGAUUUGUUGGACUCCUUUGUCAUGGUUUAUGUGAUAUAUAUGUGGAUUUGUGUGAUAUAUAUGUGGAUUUGUGUGAUAUAUAUGUGGAUUUGUGUGAUAUAUGUGAAUUCCAGUUAUAUAA